GACGUUCAUGUAGAAGUCGAGCGACUCCUUCACCGACGUGCAGACUAUGCUGAUAUGGUUAAGGGACGACAGCGGCAGCACGCCGCCCUUGUCGCCGCCACCGCCGCUCACCAUAGCCGCCGUCGUGUUUAGCAUCCUCACUGAUCACUUGCGGUCCUUGCCGGUGGCCGGAGGAUUCGUCGCUGUCCAACAAUGGACCGAAGCACCGAUCAAUCAAGCAAGAGAGAAAAGCAAAAUCG
RNAcentral lists this long non-coding RNA (239 nucleotides) under Hordeum vulgare. RNAcentral describes it as "long non-coding RNA (HVUL_LNC000715)". Lineage: Eukaryota; Viridiplantae; Streptophyta; Magnoliopsida; Poales; Poaceae. The record is from RNAcentral.